UCCGCCUCGGUGAGGGAGUUGAUCCUAGAUCGCGCUGGAACACGGCAACAGCGAAUACAUACAGUAUUCUUAUAUAUAUAUAUAUAAAAAAAAAAACACAAAAAGAAACGGAUGUGCCUCCGAAAACGAAACGGAUACCGUCCUCCUGAUAAUUUUAAUGCAAAAAUUGAGAGGUCCGUGGCCAAAGGGGGGAUGACAUGCAUGUUCCCAGGCUGUUAACAUCGCUGAGGAUUAUAGGACCAAUAGACUGCCAAGAGCUGUCAAACCAUGAUGGACAUACUGUACACAGGCCCUGUCCCGGCAGACGGCGAAUCUCCGAUGGCUGUCAGCGAGAUGUCGCCUAGCCGGGCUCAACAGCAGCCCAACUCCCAGAGACCCAACACAUGCUGCUUCUGCUGGUGCUGCUGCUGUAGCUGCUCAUGUCUCACUGUUAGGAAUGAAGAGGACAGAAGGAGGAAAUCCCUGGAAACACGCUUGGAGACCAUACCAAACUGUGAAGCUUGCACCAAACCAACAUUAGAGGAGAUAAGGGUCUGGGCUCAGUCAUUCGAUAAGCUGAUGAAGAAUCCUGCAGGUCGGAACGUGUUCAGGGAGUUCCUCCGUACCGAGUACAGCGAGGAGAACAUGUUGUUCUGGCUGGCCUGUGAAGACCUCAAACAGGAGAUGAACAAGAACACAGUGGAUGAGAAGGCACGCAUGAUCUACGAGGACUACAUCUCUAUCCUCUCCCCCAAAGAGGUGAGUCUGGACUCCCGGGUGAGAGAGGUGAUUAACAGGAAGAUACAGGAGCCCACGCCCCACACCUUUGAGGACGCCCAGCUUCAGAUCUACACCUUAAUGCACAGAGACUCCUAUCCUCGCUUCCUCAACUCGUCUAUAUACAGAUCACUGGUUCACCCGGGCUCCCACACCUCCUCAGAGUCAUAGGUUCACCCGGGCUCAGACACCUCCUCAGAGUCAUAGGUUCACCCGGGCUCAGACACCUCCUCAGAGUCAUAGGUUCACCCGGGCUCCCAAACCUCCGAGUCAUAGGUUCACCCG
RNA transcript from Coregonus clupeaformis (lake whitefish), 1041 nucleotides. It is a transcript of the gene named regulator of G-protein signaling 19-like, with no coding region annotated. The transcript is spliced from 7 exons. The record is from RefSeq and is a predicted model, not a curated record. Lineage: Eukaryota; Metazoa; Chordata; Actinopteri; Salmoniformes; Salmonidae.